GUGGCUGUAGCUCAGUGGCAGAGCGCCAGGAUGUGACCCUGGAGGCGCCGGUUCAACUCCGGCCAGUCACC
RNAcentral lists this transfer RNA (71 nucleotides) under Krasilnikovia cinnamomea. It matches the Rfam family "tRNA". From Rfam's summary of the family: Transfer RNA (tRNA) molecules are approximately 80 nucleotides in length. The record is from Rfam by way of RNAcentral. Lineage: Bacteria; Bacillati; Actinomycetota; Actinomycetes; Micromonosporales; Micromonosporaceae.